This 390-nucleotide ribosomal RNA is filed under the name uncultured Nitrospina sp. Its description in RNAcentral is "bacterial SSU rRNA". It matches the Rfam family "Bacterial small subunit ribosomal RNA", at positions 29 to 410 of the family's 1533-position model. The record is from RNAcentral. Lineage: Bacteria; Pseudomonadati; Nitrospinota; Nitrospinia; Nitrospinales; Nitrospinaceae.
AACGAACGCUGGCGGUGUGCUUAACACAUGCAAGUCGAACGAGAAAGUUUCCUUCGGGAAGCGAGUAAAGUGGCGCAAGGGUGAGUAACACGUGAAUAAUCUACCCCCGAGACUGGGAUAACCUGGUGAAAACUAAGGCUAAUACCGGAUAAGACCACGUCCCGCAAGGGAUGCGGGAAAAGGAGGCUCAACCUCCACUUGGAGAUGAGUUCGCGGACCAUUAGCUUGUUGGUGAGAUAAAAGCUCACCAAGGCUACGAUGGAUAGCCGGCCUGAGAGGGUGAACGGCCACACUGGAACUGAGACACGGUCCAGACUCCUACGGGAGGCAGCAGUGGGGAAUAUUGCGCAAUGGGCGAAAGCCUGACGCAGCAACACCGCGUGAGCGAUG